GUGCUUGCUUAAGUAGCUCAUAUACUAAAAUUGGAACAAUACAGAGAAGAUUAGUGUGACCCCUACGUGAGGAUGACACGCCAGACUGUGAAGUGCUGUAUGCUUUU
Small nuclear RNA from Manis pentadactyla (Chinese pangolin), 107 nucleotides. The record is from RefSeq and is a predicted model, not a curated record. Lineage: Eukaryota; Metazoa; Chordata; Mammalia; Pholidota; Manidae.